Long non-coding RNA from Sander lucioperca (pikeperch), 205 nucleotides. RefSeq lists it as uncharacterized. The record is from RefSeq and is a predicted model, not a curated record. The transcript is spliced from 3 exons. Lineage: Eukaryota; Metazoa; Chordata; Actinopteri; Perciformes; Percidae.
AAAUCGCCGACAUGCAUGAAUGAAUGACAUUUUUGCAAUUUUACACAUUAUAAUCCACGAUGAUCAUGUUACACAAAACUGAAAUUGCACGUCAAAAUGACACAUUGGCAAUAUUUUUGGAGACCCCCCAAGAUUUUCAGGGGAGCCCAUGUCUUAUUAAGGGGAGCCGAGCUCCCCCUAGCUCCCCCCUAGUUCGCGCCCUGUU